Populus euphratica (Euphrates poplar) is the source of this 101-nucleotide long non-coding RNA. RefSeq lists it as uncharacterized. The record is from RefSeq and is a predicted model, not a curated record. The transcript is spliced from 3 exons. NCBI's taxonomy places the organism in Eukaryota, Viridiplantae, Streptophyta, Magnoliopsida, Malpighiales, Salicaceae.
UCUAGUUUUCCUGUCAAAACUGGCUGGUAGUCCUUGAACCACUCGCAUACAUUCAAUGGUACCUGUAAAUUGCACAACAUCAAAGGUGCACAACAACAAAG